RNAcentral lists this ribosomal RNA (431 nucleotides) under uncultured Alphaproteobacteria bacterium. RNAcentral describes it as "bacterial SSU rRNA". It matches the Rfam family "Bacterial small subunit ribosomal RNA", at positions 29 to 505 of the family's 1533-position model. Lineage: Bacteria; Pseudomonadati; Pseudomonadota; Alphaproteobacteria. The record is from RNAcentral.
AACGAACGCUGGCGGCAGGCCUAACACAUGCAAGUCGAACGAACUCUUCGGAGUGAGUGGCGCACGGGUGAGUAAUGCAUGGGAAUGUACCCUUCAGUCUGGAAUAACCACGGGAAACUGUGGCUAAUACUGGAUAUUCUCGAGAGAGGAAAGAUUUAUCGCUGAAGGAUCAGCCCAUGUCAGAUUAGCUUGUUGGUGAGGUAAUGGCUCACCAAGGCUCCGAUCUGUAGCUGGUCUGAGAGGAUGAUCAGCCACACUGGAACUGAGACACGGUCCAGACUCCUACGGGAGGCAGCAGUGGGGAAUAUUGGACAAUGGGCGAAAGCCUGAUCCAGCCAUGCCGCGUGUGUGAUGAAGGCCCUAGGGUUGUAAAGCACUUUCAACGGUGAAGAUAAUGACGGUAACCGUAGAAGAAGCACCGGCUAACUUCG